Molecule: long non-coding RNA, 1632 nt
Organism: Cygnus olor (mute swan)
Lineage: Eukaryota; Metazoa; Chordata; Aves; Anseriformes; Anatidae
Exons: 2
Source: RefSeq, a predicted model, not a curated record
AAAAAAAAAAAAAAAAAAAGCUGUCUCACUCAAACUGGCCUUUCUCGGAAAAGGAUCCUUCCCCGAUGAUUGUCCGGAUAAGCAGAGCUAAAUCCAGCAGCCACUCCACAACAAAACCACUCUCUUCCACGGGUUCCUGUUUGUGGGAGAAGGAUUGAGUUGAGGCCCUGAGACCUGACUGACCCACAGGGAGGACACCUGAGACCAUCCCUGCAGCCGUGCUGCCUUGGGAGCAUGCCAGUGUGGUUGAAGAGAGCUGGGAUGGAUGCAGAGGGACAAAGAUAAAGGGGUCAAGGAGGUUUUUACUCCUUUCUUCAAGGUGGUGCUGCUAAGCUAAGCAGGCUAUGAAACCUGACCACUCAAGAUGCUUCAAUCCCACAGAAAUAAGAUUGCAGUUAAAUUCUCCAACAUCAUCACCCAGUUCAGUCUGACAAGUCAUCAGACAGCCUGCUAGGGGAUUACUUCUGAUGUUUUAAGUCUACUAAAACACCUUUAUUCCCUGGCUUCACUGGAUAUGUGCCAUUCACACACUGGACAUCACCUCAGAAGUGGCUGCAUCUCAGUGGAGGACAUGGUGGCAUAUAAUGUACUGAUCCCCAACACAAUCUUUGUUGCACAGCUUGCUCUUGUUUGACCUGAAUUCUUCCCUGCUCUUCAAAGAGGCAGUGGAGGAAGAGUCCUGCAAUGAGCUCCCCAAGCAGAGAAGCGUAAGGCUGGCUAUGCCGGAGCUGACAGCCAGGAUCGGCCCCUGGCCUGGGCCUGGAUCCAGCCACAGGAGCACUGUGGGAGUUCCCAUCUGGAUGUCAGCUUUGCAGUCUGGGCCUAGGGGAUUAGCUGAGAUGUGGUUCCCAGAGCAGAGGAAAAGGGCUAAUGAACACAGAUAUGUUAAAGAAGCAGGUAAAAGCUUUCUGUCCUUCAGGGCUGAAGAGGAAAUCCUGCAGCUGGUCAAUCUGGAUACAAUUAGAGUCCAUUUCUCCCUGUGUAAUCAACCCAUCUGUCUAUCCCUGUGCAUCAGCAGUGCACACCCCACUGCAGGCAGAUGCCUCCCAGGCACUGUUGUUAUCUGCAUUUGCCGUGGAUGCUCCAGGUAGCCCAAGGACAAGGCUCGCUCUGAGCCAUGGAUCCAACAACUGCACCUGUUCCCUCUGCCCUCCAGGCUCAGCAGGAGCUCUGGGAGAGCUGUGGACAACAAACCAGCUGCGAUCACCGCAAAUGGGAGGAUCAAGCACAGGAAAAGGCUCUCCAAGAGGAUGGUGGGUGGGUGUCUUCUCCAAAGUGCUUUACACUUUCUGGAGUGAUCUUUGUAAUGUACUGAUAACUUCAGUUUUCCAGACACUGCCUACUCCCCUGAGCUCAACCUUAUUGUAAGCAGGUAACGGUAGAUUACGUUCAGGUGCCACACUGAGCUUGUAAAGUUGUGUUCAUCACAUGGGAUCCUGAGUACUGGUUCAGGUGUCUGUGGUUCUGGUGUCCUCAAACUGUAUACUCAAACUGUAUGAACUUGCUCUUAUAUUAGCUCUUGCUUGUGUCGCAUUUUGUCAUCAGAGUGUCUUGAGGGAUCAAUCCACUGUACUAAGUGCUGUCCACACAGAAAAUAAAGAUGGUCCCAACCUGAAGCAGCUUACACAGUCA